UGAGGAAUAUUGGUCAAUGGACGAGAGUCUGGACCAGCCAAAUCGCGUGAAGGAAGACUGCCCUACGGGUUGUAAACUUCUUUUGUACAGGAAUAAAAGACAUUACGUGUAAUGUAUUGCAUGUACUGUACGAAUAAGCAUCGGCUAACUCCGUGCCAGCAGCCGCGGUAAUACGGAGGAUGCGAGCGUUAUCCGGAUUUAUUGGGUUUAAAGGGUGCGCAGGCGGGAUUUUAAGUCAGCGGUGAAAUUUUCAGGCUCAACCUGAACACUGCCGUUGAAACUGGGAUUCUUGAGUAUGGAUGAAGUAGGCGGAAUUCGUUGUGUAGCGGUGACAUGCUUAGAUAUAACGAGGAACUCCCAUUCCGUAGGCAGCUUACUAAGCCAUAACUGACGCUCAAGCACGAAAGCGUGGGGA
RNAcentral lists this ribosomal RNA (415 nucleotides) under uncultured bacterium. Its description in RNAcentral is "bacterial SSU rRNA". It matches the Rfam family "Bacterial small subunit ribosomal RNA", at positions 355 to 767 of the family's 1533-position model. The record is from RNAcentral.